RNAcentral lists this ribosomal RNA (468 nucleotides) under uncultured bacterium. RNAcentral's name for it is "partial 16S ribosomal RNA". It matches the Rfam family "Bacterial small subunit ribosomal RNA", at positions 28 to 507 of the family's 1533-position model. The record is from RNAcentral.
GACGAACGCUGGCGGCGUGCUUAACACAUGCAAGUCGAACGGAAAGGCCCUGCUUUUGUGGGGUGCUCGAGUGGCGAACGGGUGAGUAACACGUGAGUAACCUGCCCUUGACUUUGGGAUAACUUCAGGAAACUGGGGCUAAUACCGGAUAGGAGCUCCUGCUGCAUGGUGGGGGUUGGAAAGUUUCGGCGGUUGGGGAUGGACUCGCGGCUUAUCAGCUUGUUGGUGGGGUAGUGGCUUACCAAGGCUUUGACGGGUAGCCGGCCUGAGAGGGUGACCGGCCACAUUGGGACUGAGAUACGGCCCAGACUCCUACGGGAGGCAGCAGUGGGGAAUAUUGCACAAUGGGCGGAAGCCUGAUGCAGCAACGCCGCGUGCGGGAUGACGGCCUUCGGGUUGUAAACCGCUUUCGCCUGUGACGAAGCGUGAGUGACGGUAAUGGAUAAAGAAGCACCGGCUAAUUACGUG